RNAcentral lists this transfer RNA (71 nucleotides) under Cavia porcellus (domestic guinea pig). It matches the Rfam family "tRNA". Rfam says of the family: Transfer RNA (tRNA) molecules are approximately 80 nucleotides in length. The record is from Rfam by way of RNAcentral. Lineage: Eukaryota; Metazoa; Chordata; Mammalia; Rodentia; Caviidae.
AGGUGUUUAGCUCAGCGGCAUAAGUGCCUGCCUUGAAAGCAGGCAGUCGUGAGUUCAAUCCCCAGUACCGA